GACGAACGCUGGCGGCGUGCUUAACACAUGCAAGUCGAACGGAAAGGCCCUGCUGUUGUGGGGUGCUCGAGUGGCGAACGGGUGAGUAACAGGUGAGUAACCUGCCCUUGACUUUGGGAUAACGUCAGGAAACUGGGGCUAAUACCGGAUAGGAGCUCCUGCUGCAUGGUGGGGGUUGGAAAGCUUGGGCGGUUGGGGAUGGACUCGCGGCUUGUCAGCUUGUUGGUGGGGUAGUGGCUUACCAAGGCUUUGACGGGUAGCCGGCCUGAGAGGGUGACCGGCCACGUUGGGACGGAGAUACGGCCCAGACUCCUACGGGAGGCAGGAGUGGGGAAUAGUGCACAAUGGGCGGAAGCAUGAUGCAGCAACGCCGCGUGCGGGAUGACGGCCUUCGGGUUGUAAACCGCUUUCGCCUGUGACGAAGCGUGAGUGGCGGUAAUGGGUAAAGAAGCACCGGCUAACUACGUG
This 468-nucleotide ribosomal RNA is filed under the name uncultured bacterium. RNAcentral describes it as "partial 16S ribosomal RNA". It matches the Rfam family "Bacterial small subunit ribosomal RNA", at positions 28 to 507 of the family's 1533-position model. The record is from RNAcentral.